This 1603-nucleotide long non-coding RNA is filed under the name Eutrema salsugineum. RNAcentral describes it as "long non-coding RNA (ESAL_LNC001754)". Lineage: Eukaryota; Viridiplantae; Streptophyta; Magnoliopsida; Brassicales; Brassicaceae. The record is from RNAcentral.
CUCAAACGAUUCAUCUUCAUCCUAUCUCCAAAUCAGAUUCAACGAAAGGAAAGCUCAAACCAUAAGUCGUUACAAAAUACCUUCAAACUUAAUUUCUCUAACAAAGUAACUUCACACUUAAAUCACCCUUCAAACCUAAAUCCACGAUGGAGAAUCUCAAACAUCAAUCGUUCCUAAUAACUUCCACAUCACCGCCACUUCUCCAUCCUCUUUAUAUAAAUUCUGAUCCUUCCACCAAUACAAUUUACAACUCAUUUCUACCCAUCAUAUACUAUCACAGCCAUGGCAUCCUCUGAACCUGUUGGAGUAGUUAGAAAAACAAAGAGGUAAUCGAACAGACAUGAUGGCCAAUGAUCUGUUUUGUGUUUUGAAUUUUUUGAUAUAUUAUCUUCUUUAUAAAUUGCACCGAGCAUUAUUCAUCCGAACUUAAAAUAUUGUCAUCGCAAUUUCUUCACAUAAUUGUCAACACUUUUUUUGUCUAGUUUCGAAAACCCAAUCGGCAACUGUCAACACAAAUCCAGAAGACCAAUUCCAAGGCUUUCCCUCUUUGUAGUCUUAAUUAUUUUUGGAUCUGUGCUAUUCGAUCAAGCUAUUGAAAGGUCAAAAAUCGUUUUUUCGUCUUCUCAUCUUCUAAUCUUACAGAUUCAUUGGCGUCUCUUUGAGACAGAAAUGAGGCCAAAGAUUCUAUGUCUGACCUUAUUUUUAAUUUGAAGCAGUAUUAUCUUCACCCAUAAUCUGUUAUUACGAGUCCUCUUUACCUACGGGUAAGUUGAAAACAGGCGGCUACGAUUCAGUAGCUAGGUUAUUGGCUUUAAUUUCUUUACAGAAUUGAACAAUAUUGUCAUCUAUUACUCUACUUUGGAAUCAAAUUAUCAACCGUCAAAGUAAAUCUGAAUAUGUUCCUUACUUAUUUAUGCAGGUUUUCCAUAUCAGAUUGUUCUCAUGGUGCUUCAAAUCUCUACAGUACAACUAAGUCACUGCUAUAAUCAAAGAGUUCUGCUUUAAAUCUCUGAUCAUUAUAUCUUCUAGCCAGUUUCCAAUCUCUGGAGAGGCAGCAAAGCAAGAGCACGUGAUGAACGAUGGAACCAGCGGACGCCAUCUAGGUCUGCGGUUAGAUAUUUGGAUCUAUGAUGAUUUAUUUCAGUUUUAAUCUUUUCCAUGUCUCUGUUUUAGGUGAUUUAAUUUCUCAUUACAUUUGGUCGGUAAUGCAGUAGGAAAGACAAACUACCCUAUUAAAUUCAUUGGUUAUACUAACCUAUAUGGUUUUCUAUUACCAUAUGCCCUUAGAAGCUGCUAAGAAGAUGUAAGAUUUCGUCUACAAAACGUGUAAGGUGGAUUUUCUUAUUUGGUUUUAGCCAGAUCGAUGUGAGUGAUUAAAAUUAGCUCAUGUAGUCUUAAUUUUCAAAUAAAUAUCUAAUACAAAACUAUGAGAGGCUUUGUGAUACCAAAAGGGACAUGAAAAAAUACUUAUGGUCUUCACGAUCCAGACAAAUAAGUUUCAACGUAAUUACAUCUCAUGUGGAGACGAAAUUACAUGUUUUAUAAUGUUUUUUGCUUCUACAUUAUUUCAUUAUGCUUCGAUAUAAAAUGUUAUAUUUAGAAA